Molecule: ribosomal RNA, 303 nt
Filed under: uncultured bacterium
Lineage: Bacteria
Description: partial 16S ribosomal RNA
Rfam family: Bacterial small subunit ribosomal RNA
Source: RNAcentral
AGCAGCAGCCGCGGUAAUACGUAUGUCACAAGCGUUAUCCGGAUUUAUUGGGCGUAAAGCGCGUCUAGGUGGUUAUGUAAGUCUGAUGUGAAAAUGCAGAGCUCAACUCUGUAUUGCGUUGGAAACUGUGUAACUAGAGUACUGGAGAGGUAAGCGGAACUACAAGUGUAGAGGUGAAAUUCGUAGAUAUUUGUAGGAAUGCCGAUGGGGAAGCCAGCUUACUGGACAGAUACUGACGCUGAAGCGCGAAAGCGUGGGUAGCAAACAGGAUUAGAUACCCCCGUAGUCCCUGUCUCUUAUACC